UGAGACUCCGGGAUGCACCCCGAGAACGCCCGGUCACGCUCCGUGGGCGACGGACCCCAGGCGCGCAGGGACCCAGGGCUGGAGAAAUGGCUGAUUCUAGGGCUAGAGCUGAGAAAAUACCACACCCGUCUGGAGACACUUCCAGCGGCAGAAAGUACUUAAAACAAGCUGGAAGGGCGCGGAAGCCAACCUCAAAGAACUCUCCUUGGCCACAGCUGGAACAAUUCGAGAACAAAGUGAAUAACCAUAGUAUUGGAUUAUGAUCCCAACGAUGAAAUAAAGUCCACAGGAGUCAGUACUGAUUAAAAAUACUGUCUUUGAAUUUGCUGCUUGUGCCACCAGGAAUGCACUCCUUUCCUCCUCAUCCUUUUGAUACCACAAUGGCCAUUUCAAGGGUAAACCAAUAGCUCUGGACGGAAAAACCCAGCCAAGUCCAUGACUGCCUUGACUGAUUCUGGCCAUCAAAUGCAGGUGGAAGAGGAGUCACUUCUGUACAUCAAUCACUUCUGAGCUGAGGCAUCGAAAAGCCCACACAUGUUUCUCCAGUCUCCCUGGACGUGUUUGUUCCUGCAGCAAAA
Neogale vison (American mink) is the source of this 578-nucleotide long non-coding RNA. RefSeq lists it as uncharacterized. The record is from RefSeq and is a predicted model, not a curated record. The transcript has 3 exons. Lineage: Eukaryota; Metazoa; Chordata; Mammalia; Carnivora; Mustelidae.